AACGAACGCUGGCGGCAUGCCUAACACAUGCGAGUCGAACGAGACCUUCGGGUCUAGUGGCGCACGGGUGCGUAACGCGUGGGAACCUGCCCUUAGGUUCGGAAUAACUCCCCGAAAGGGGUGCUAAUACCGGAUAAUGCCUUCGGACCAAAGAUUUAUCGCCUUUGGAUGGGCCCGCGUUGGAUUAGCUAGUUGGUAGGGUAAAAGCCUACCAAGGCGACGAUCCAUAGCUGGUCUGAGGGGUUGAUCAGCCACACUGGGACUGAGACACGGCCCAGACUCCUACGGGAGGCAGCAGUGGGGAAUAUUGGACAAUGGGCGAAAGCCUGAUCCAGCAAUGCCGCGUGAGUGAUGAAGGCCUUAGGGUUGUAAAGCUCUUUUACCCGGGAUGAUAAUGACAGUACCGGGAGAAUAAGCGCCGGCUAACUCCGUG
RNAcentral lists this ribosomal RNA (433 nucleotides) under uncultured bacterium. RNAcentral's name for it is "partial 16S ribosomal RNA". It matches the Rfam family "Bacterial small subunit ribosomal RNA", at positions 29 to 507 of the family's 1533-position model. The record is from RNAcentral.